GUGAAGGAAGCUGAGAAUGUUGUCAAGAGGCUGCAGGAGGGAGAUGUUUUGUUCUUGAUGGAAAAAGCUGUUGGAGUGCAUUUGGACAAGACAGGACCAUUCUCGCCAAUGGUUCUGAAGGCCAUCGUCAGGAAAAAGAACUCGAUAGCGGUUUGCAAGCAGGGCAGCUACUUCAUGAUUAUCAAGGACAUUGGAACUGCAGAGAUAUCGCCCUUGAGCAUUGUCAUUUUCGUACACCAAAAUGUGGCAGCAGGCAACAUCAUCAAUGUGAACAUAGCCCAUUCUGCCAUAAGCUGAGAACCUAUCUUUUUCUCCUGCAAGUUAGUUUCAUCAGUACUUAUAGUGUGAUGUACCUAUUGUUGAAAAGAAGGCAUUUAGUGCCUUGAAAUUUUGUUUUCCAUAGAAAGGAAGGAUGAUCCAUUGCGGCAUUAGAAAUACCUCGAAGUAGGCCAAGGACGUCACUAACAGUUAGACACAAAUCAUGGGGCAGACUUGGUCCGACGAUGAAUGAUGGAAGAAGAGUUACAAGGUCUAUUUUGUUCUCCUUUGCAAAUUCCCAAGCUGCCUUCUCUGCUAGAACUUUUGCUAGGGCAUACCACAUCUUGGAUAACAAAAAGCAAAAAGAAUAUAUGAGCAUUAUUCAGAAUUAAGCACAUUGCCAUGGAUCUUUUUUGCUUAGUGUUUCUGCUCUUAUCAUAGCAAGAAGGGUUCAUGUAGCCUUCAAUAAUUGUAUAACCAAAAAGCCAUCUAAAUAAGUAUGUGUAUGUAUAAAUGUGCCAAACAUGCAGUAGCAGAUUAGUUAUGGUCUUUCACCUGGAACGUUUGGCAAAGUUCCACAGAGCUCCAUGAUGUCUCAUCCAGUGGUAAUCUGGGGUUGACAUUCUCUCUUACUCUUAUUGCAGAUGAAGACGACGUCAGAACAACUCUCCUUAGUGCUGGAUUCUUCUUGCAUGAUCGCAACACAUUUAGAGUGCCAGUGACUGCAGGAUCCAGUAUCUCAGCCUGCUAAAUGUCAACACCAGGAGCCAUGGCCACAAACAACAAAAUGAGACAAAUUUCCACAAAUGCAACUAAGCUGUAUGUUCUCCUGACCAUUUUUCUCUCUCUUUUGCAAGCGGUUUUAAGAGAGAACUAUUUUCCAUGUGUCCAACUCCAAAUAAGAGGGAAGAAUAGCAGUUUUCAGCUACUGUUCAAAUGGACAUGCCAUGAUGAGAGGAACUGCAUACCUUGGGAUACAUGGCUACGACCACGGGAGAUGCGGUAUGGAAGACACCUUCACAUCCCAUUACGGCAUCAUCAAAGCUGCCUUCAUCCAUGAGAUUGGCCUUCACAAGCUGAAGCCUGUCCUUUGCACCUUCCAACUCCCACAGAUGGGCCAAUUUCUUAUGGCCCCCUGCAAAUCUGUUAUUGGACAUGAGUUGAUGAUGAAGAAGAAGAAAUGGAGUGAUGGAACCUGGGUCUCGGACUGUUCCUAUUACAUGAUACCCAGACUGUAGAAGUCGCUUAACAAGCCAAGAAGCAACAUAACCAGAAGCGCCUGUCACACACACCCUGCCUUUGCUACCUGAAACCUCGUCCAUUCUGUCAGAAAUGUGGAGACUUCCAUGUCUAUUUAUACAUGUACUCCAGAGCUUGUUAUGUAAGCCAAGAUGGGUAGUUCAUCACCUUUUGAUGUUCUCUGACGUUACUUGUAACUUAGAGUCUGGUGGAGAGUCGAUGGAAAAACUAGCACUCAUACGUAUCAUGUCAUGCACACUCUUGGUGGACAUAAUCUUUUGGAGGAAAAUACACAAAACUCAUGAUAGGCACAAGAAAGACUUUGGCGUCCCAGAGAAGUCGCCAUCUUGGCUUUCUAAUGGAGAUCAAAAUGAACGGAUGUGGUGAGGGGGAGCUUCAAUAAUGUUGAUAUAG
Musa acuminata AAA Group (dessert banana) is the source of this 1911-nucleotide long non-coding RNA. RefSeq lists it as uncharacterized. The record is from RefSeq and is a predicted model, not a curated record. Lineage: Eukaryota; Viridiplantae; Streptophyta; Magnoliopsida; Zingiberales; Musaceae. The transcript is spliced from 3 exons.